GAUGAACGCUGGCGGCGUGCCUAAUACAUGCAAGUCGAGCGAACGGACGAGAAGCUUGCUUCUCUGAUGUUAGCGGCGGACGGGUGAGUAACACGUGGAUAACCUACCUAUAAGACUGGGAUAACUUCGGGAAACCGGAGCUAAUACCGGAUAAUAUUUUGAACCGCAUGGUUCAAAAGUGAAAGACGGUCUUGCUGUCACUUAUAGAUGGAUCCGCGCUGCAUUAGCUAGUUGGUAAGGUAACGGCUUACCAAGGCAACGAUGCAUAGCCGACCUGAGAGGGGGAUGGGCCACACUGGAACUGAGACACGGUCCAGACUCCUACGGGAGGCAGCAGUAGGGAAUCUGCCGCAAUGGGCGAAAGCCUGACGGAGCAACGCGGCGUGAGUGAUGAAGGUCUUCGGAUCGUAAAACUCUGUUAUUAGGGAAGAACAUAUGUGUAAGUAACUGUGCACAUCUUGACGGUACCUAAUCAGAAAGCCACGGCUAACUACGUG
Molecule: ribosomal RNA, 497 nt
Filed under: uncultured bacterium
Lineage: Bacteria
Description: partial 16S ribosomal RNA
Rfam family: Bacterial small subunit ribosomal RNA
Source: RNAcentral